RNAcentral lists this ribosomal RNA (250 nucleotides) under uncultured bacterium. RNAcentral's name for it is "partial 16S ribosomal RNA". It matches the Rfam family "Bacterial small subunit ribosomal RNA", at positions 524 to 773 of the family's 1533-position model. The record is from RNAcentral.
UACGGAGGGUGCAAGCGUUGUUCGGAAUUACUGGGCGUAAAGCGUGUCUAGGUGGAUUCGUAAGUCAGGCGUGAAAUCCCCCGGCUCAACCGGGGAAGGUCGCUUGAUACUGCGAGUCUUGAGUUUCGGAAAGGUGGGUAGAAUUCCCAGUGUAGAGGUGAAAUUCGUAGAGAUUGGGAGGAAUACCGGAGACGAAGGUGACUCACUGGCCGAACACUGACACUCAAGCACGAAAGCGUGGGUAGCAAAC